CGUAGGGUGCGAGCGUUAAUCGGAAUUACUGGGCGUAAAGCGUGCGCAGGCGGUUAUGUAAGACAGUUGUGAAAUCCCCGGGCUCAACCUGGGAACUGCAUCUGUGACUGCAUAGCUAGAGUACGGUAGAGGGGGAUGGAAUUCCGCGUGUAGCAGUGAAAUGCGUAGAUAUGCGGAGGAACACCGAUGGCGAAGGCAAUCCCCUGGACCUGUACUGACGCUCAUGCACGAAAGCGUGGGGAGCAAACAGGAUUAGAUACCCUGGUGGUCCACGCCCUAAACGAUGUCAACUGGUUGUUGGGUCUUCACUGACUCAGUAACGAAGCUAACGCGUGAAGUUGACCGCCUGGGGAGUACGGCCGCAAGGUUG
RNAcentral lists this ribosomal RNA (370 nucleotides) under uncultured organism. Its description in RNAcentral is "bacterial SSU rRNA". It matches the Rfam family "Bacterial small subunit ribosomal RNA", at positions 526 to 896 of the family's 1533-position model. The record is from RNAcentral.